AGUGAACGCUGGCGGUAGGCCUAACACAUGCAAGUCGAACGGCAGCACAGUAAGAGCUUGCUCUUACGGGUGGCGAGUGGCGGACGGGUGAGGAAUACAUCGGAAUCUACUUUUUCGUGGGGGCUAACGUAGGGAAACUUACGCUAAUACCGCAUACGACCUACCGGUGAAAGCAGGGGAUCUUCGGACCUUGCGCGAUUGAAUGAGCCGAUGUCGGAUUAGCUAGUUGGCGGGGUAAAGGCCCACCAAGGCGACGAUCCGUAGCUGGUCUGAGAGGAUGAUAGGCCACACUGGAACUGAGACACGGUCCCGACGCCUACGGGAGGCAGCAGUGGGGAAGAUUGGACAAUGGGCGAAAGCCUGAUCCAGCCAUACCGCGUGGGUGAAGAAGGCCUUCGGGUUGUAAAGCCCUUUUGUUGGGAAAGAAAAGCAGCAGGUUAAUACCCCGCUGUUCUGACGGUACCCAAAGAAUAAGCACCGGCUAACUUCGUG
Molecule: ribosomal RNA, 492 nt
Filed under: uncultured bacterium
Lineage: Bacteria
Description: partial 16S ribosomal RNA
Rfam family: Bacterial small subunit ribosomal RNA
Source: RNAcentral